This 218-nucleotide ribosomal RNA is filed under the name uncultured bacterium. RNAcentral describes it as "partial 16S ribosomal RNA". It matches the Rfam family "Bacterial small subunit ribosomal RNA", at positions 122 to 334 of the family's 1533-position model. The record is from RNAcentral.
UAAACCUGCCCUAGACAGGGGGAUAACUGCUGGAAACGGCAGCUAAGACCGCAUAGGUAUGGACACUGCAUGGUGACCAUAUUAAAAGUGCCAAGGCACUGGUAGAGGAUGGACUUAUGGCGCAUUAGCUAGUUGGUGAGGUAACGGCUCACCAAGGCGACGAUGCGUAGCCGACCUGAGAGGGUGACCGGCCACACUGGGACUGAGACACGGCCCAG